Molecule: ribosomal RNA, 496 nt
Filed under: uncultured bacterium
Lineage: Bacteria
Description: partial 16S ribosomal RNA
Rfam family: Bacterial small subunit ribosomal RNA
Source: RNAcentral
AUGAACGCUGGCGGCGUGCCUAAUACAUGCAAGUCGAGCGAACAGACGAGGAGCUUGCUCCUCUGACGUUAGCGGCGGACGGGGGAGUAACACGGGGAUAACCUACCUAUAAGACUGGGAUAACUUCGGGAAACCGGAGCUAAUACCGGAUAAUAUAUUGAACCGCAUGGUUCAAUAGUGAAAGACGGUUUUGCUGUCACUUAUAGAUGGAUCCGCGCCGCAUUAGCUAGUUGGUAAGGUAACGGCUUACCAAGGCAACAAUGCGUAGCCGACCUGAGGGGGUGAUCGGCCACACUGGAACUGAGACACGGUCCAGACUCCUACGGGAGGCAGCAGUAGGGAAUCUUCCGCAAUGGGCGAAAGCUUGACGGAGCAACGCCGCGUGAGUGAUGAAGGUCUUCGGAUCGUAAAACUCUGUUAUUAGGGAAGAACAAAUGUGUAAGUAACUAUGCACGUCUUGACGGUACCUAAUCAGAAAGCCACGGCUAACUACGUG